Molecule: ribosomal RNA, 252 nt
Filed under: uncultured bacterium
Lineage: Bacteria
Description: partial 16S ribosomal RNA
Rfam family: Bacterial small subunit ribosomal RNA
Source: RNAcentral
UACGUAGGAGACGAGCGUUGUCCGGAGUUACUGGGCGUAAAGGGUGCGCAGGUGGCGGCGCGCGUGGGGGGUGGAAAUCGCCCGGCUUAACUGGGCGGGGCCUUCCAGACGGCGUGGCUUGAGCAGCGGAGGGGGACGUGGAAUUCCGGGUGGAGCGGUGAAAUGCGUAGAGAUCCGGAGGAACACCGGUGGUGUAGACGGCUUUCUGGACCGAUAACUGACGCUGAGACGACGAAAGCGUGGGUAGCAAAC